GGCAUAUAUGUUGGUAUCGAUCAAGAAGCAGAAGAGCUUCCAAGUCUGGCUUCUGCCUCCUUGUUAUCUUUCUUUCUCCACCAGUGCCUGCAAGUAUGUGAAGUUUGUCAGUGAAGUUAUGAAGAGUGUGUGAUGAAUGUAUACGUUAACUAUAAUUGCAUCCCAGCUGAGCAUGUGGGCAGCUCCUCAAGCAGGAGGGAGUUUGCUCCUCCAGGGGUCAGCAGCAGCUGCUAUGUGAUUUCAGCCUUCACAUACAGCUUCGCAUGCUCAGCAGCUGUUCCUAAGCACUUGCCACCCACACCCUGAAUUUCCAUCCUUAAAACUUGUGAUACCCUAGCGCAUGCAAUAGUUCCACACACUAACUGCCUAUUAGCUCAAUGACAGCACUCAUAUUUCCCCUGUUCUGAAUAUAAAUCCCUGCCCAAUUCUGAGAAGUGCCACCUGCCUGUGCAAGAGGGUGCUUGGUGGAGUGUUUACUUUUGGAUCACUGUAGCUGGACAAUCUUUUUUUAUUUUGAGGUAAGAAGAAAAAUGUAUAUUUAUUUCUUUAACUCUGCCUGAUUGUAUGCUUAUGUGACAUUCACUAAUGCCUCCCCAAGCAUGUCUCCUAACUUAGAUCUAUAAGCUUUUAGUUUAAGGAAAUGCCAGAGUAAAUUUCCGUGCUGGCAGGUGAAGGCAGAACUGAUGUGCAGAAGAAAAGUAAUUUCCUACCCACAUACAGGCAGAUGAACAAGAAGAGACAAGAAAGCAUUGCCAGGGUACUGACCCCAGUAGUGGCACCUUCACACUAGAAACUCCCAAACCUCCUGUCAAAGUGUCUGGCUUGGUAGCAACUGCCCAAACUAGGCUAGAGAGUGGACUGCCAUGCCAGAAUUACUUUGUUCUCUUUUUCCAGAACCUGAACUGAAGCACAGAGUCGGUUGCCAGUGAAUAGUCCCUGAAGAACCAUCCUAGGCAACCCCAUGUAUUCUAGGUGACCCAGGCAGUUCCAUGCUGGCACCAGCAUGCCCACUGGGACAGGAGGGCAGCAGUUAGGGUAACUGGUGUCACCUGAGCCAUCCCACAUCACCCAGCUCUUCACCAAUUCCACUCUUCCAUUGACCAUCCCAAAAGGUAUAUAAAGACUUUACAGACUUGCUCUCUUUUUUCUUGAGCUGUUUUUCUCUAGGACUUCCUGCUUGUGCCUCCUGAUUAGUGACCAGCUGUGGUUCCACCACUUUCUUGCCAAGAAAUCUGCAUUUGAAGCCUUCUGAGAUGUGUUUCCUGCUCUCCAACCACUGAGAUGUUCAACUGAAAGGAUACAACGUCAACCCCAAAUUAGAUGAUGUAAACCUUAUCUGGAAAACUGAAGCACAGCCUGGCAUGCUCUCCUGUUGUGGAACAAAGGAUUGACUUGGGUCUGCUCUCCUUUGCCUUUCUGAAAGAGGCCAUCCGAAGUAACUUUUCUGUGCUGCUAGGUUAAUAAGAAGACAACCAGUUUUUUUCAAGCAAUUAGCCAAGAAUUUACAAAAGCUCUGUAGAGAAUCACCAUGCUGUGCAGGUUUCUUAUAGUUUCUACUUUGUCCCAGAGCACUAUUCCAGGAAGGAGGGGAGGCGGAGGGGGGGAGGGGAAGGGAAAAAAAUCAAUUAAUUAUACCGUUGCCAUGUUCAAUUUUAAUUAUCUUCCUACAUGUCAAAGUUAUUGAUAGUAAACAAGAAAUGGAAUCAGCUUCAUUUUGACCUAAGACUUACAGGAGCAUCUUUCCUUACUCAAAGAGUCAAUUAAUGGGAAUAGGAACAAAUCACUGACCCUUCAGUUCAAUUAGAAAUGAUGUCGAUUAGAAUGAGUCUUUCACUACUUAAUCUGUAAAUUGCAACUGGCCUCUAAACUCCCUUUUUCUAAAGGAUGUCCCUGAGUUGUUCGAACUACUCAGAACAAAGAUUUAGUUAAGGCAGUGUUAAAAUAAAAGUGCAAGCUGGAGAUCUGCUUCCAGCUCAUCGUAUACACCUGGGAAUAUCAGAACAUAUUUGGCUUCAUCAGCCUACCCAGCCAGUUAGUUGUUAAGUGACUGUAGUCAUCUAUUAGAAAAGGGAGUUGAAUGGCAGUGAACCGCGAGAGCUGGAAACCCACAGUAUCUGAAGAUAGAUGAAGUCCUGUCACUGCCACUGUAACUUGUCACAGGUGACUAAAAGGCAGUGAAGUUCAGCUUGCCAGGAUGAUGACUUUAUUAAAGUUUUUCACCUUUAUUUCAAAUUCUUUUAGACAAGUCUAGGAAUUUUGCCUCUAAAGACAUGGAGGGGUUACCCUUCAGUUUGGGAAAAGGAUGUAAAACAUUCAAAAAUAGAUAAAUAGAUAAGUAAAGAAGUAUAUGUGUGCAUAUGCACCUAUAUUCAUGCCUGAGCUAAAACUGUACAAGUUGGAAAUUGUUUAAUUCAUAUCAAGUAAGGAUAAGUAUAUAACUAAAUUACUUUGGACCUGAGUAAAGGGAGAAGCUUCCAAAA
This is a non-coding RNA of Meleagris gallopavo (turkey), 2480 nucleotides long. NCBI's taxonomy places the organism in Eukaryota, Metazoa, Chordata, Aves, Galliformes, Phasianidae. The record is from RefSeq and is a predicted model, not a curated record.